UGCGCCCCUUGGCAUUCCGAGGGGCACACCCGUUUGAGUGUCGUGAAAUUAUCAAAGCCCCCUUUUCUUUGAAGGAGUUUUGGACUUGGAGGUUCAAUGCUUGCCUUUCACUUUUGAAAGUGAGCUCCUCCCAAAUAAAUUAGUGGGGUCCGCUUUGCUGAUCCUUAACGUGAUAAGAUGUUUCUAUGUUUUGGAUUUGGCACUGUCCCUUGGAUGCCUGCUCCUAACCGUCUCACGGACAAUGAUGGUGCUUCGGUCACUACCAUUUAUAUUGGUGGAAGGCUGGACCCACGAAAAUAAAACCUUGACCUCAAAUCGGGU
Molecule: unclassified non-coding RNA, 321 nt
Filed under: uncultured Gymnomyces
Lineage: Eukaryota; Fungi; Basidiomycota; Agaricomycetes; Russulales; Russulaceae
Description: sequence contains ITS1, 5.8S rRNA gene, ITS2
Source: RNAcentral